Molecule: long non-coding RNA, 7382 nt
Organism: Acanthochromis polyacanthus (spiny chromis)
Lineage: Eukaryota; Metazoa; Chordata; Actinopteri; Pomacentridae
Exons: 4
Source: RefSeq, a predicted model, not a curated record
CUGAUUUUUUAAAUUCUGUUGACUUCAGUCUUUAAAAUAUAGUCCUCAAGAAUAUUAUUUUUAAAACUGUUUUUGAAGUACUUUGUUGCAAUAAUCAUAUUUCAAACAGUUCCUUUUACUAGCUGAUUUUUUUAGUCUGUUGACUUUCAUCUUUAAAAUGUAGUCCACGUAGUCCAUAUAUUGUCCUCAUUAAUGUCAUUUUUAAAAAAGUUUUAAGUUAUUUUGCAGCAUUUUAUCUCAUUUCACUCAGAAUAUAGGGCUACAGUCACUUCUGGACGAGUGAAGAGGUGCAUUCUAUUAUUUGAACUGGUGAUGUAAAGCUUUUUGAACAGGUACAGAAAUGGAUUGGUUCAAGUUUGGGGCACAGGUAAAUAAUGCAGAGACAUCGCCUCAGGACAGCUACAAAAGAGAGGACUUCUUUCUAACUGUUUUACUCAGAAAAAAGCAGCUGUAUAUGUAUAUGAACUGGGUAAUCAAUUUAAAACAGAUAAUCCCCUUUGAACUCAACAGAAAAUGAUCAGUAAUCACAGUAGUGCUUUUUCUACAUCAUGUGUAAUAAUGGAAUUUUGAAAAAGUCUGAAGUCAAAAUCAUGUGAUAUGAACUUAUUGAAACAGAAAUGUUUUAAAUGCUACAGAAAUCCCUCUGUGAAGCACCACCUACUGUCAUGGUUUCAUUUGAGCAUUUGCUCCUCAGAUGUGGGUGGUUUAGUGAUGUCAUUUGAAUGCUGUCAUCUUUAACGUUUUCUUGUAUUCCUGCUAAAACUAAACUGCUAUGUGAAGGAUUGUGUUGGUGGUAUUGAAGGUUGUUGGUUUGAAAAUUAACAUUUUUUUCUUAUAAGCUGUCUCCCUGUGCAGCCUUGAGUUGGACUGGGGACUCGUCCAGGUUGAACCUUCCCCCUGAGCCAGCGGGAUAGGCAGCAGCCCCCCGCGGCCCAACAGAGGAUUGAGUGGUUUAUAGAUCAUGCAUGGAUGGAAUUCUUAAUUACUGAAGAAAAAUGAUGAAGUUUUUGCUAAAAUAAUUGUUUCAAAACGCUGAACAUGGAAUGCAUUGUUAUUAGAAGUGGAAAUCUGGAUUGUAUUUAAUAAUGUAACAGAUUUGUAGAAUGUCUUUUUUAUAUUAUUCUAAUGUAUAAUUUUUCUGACAAGCAACCCUGUAUGUGCUUAAAAUGAAACCAAUAAACCAAAAGUUUUAUAAAGGACAUGAAAGACAUUUUUAAGUUGCUCAUUUAUUCCAAUUUCUUCCUUUCUUCCUCUCUCAACUCUCUGACUAGCGGAAGCGAGACAGCAGCCCAGCAGACCACCCGGAGCCUCCAGCCAAGCGGCCCUGCACCACCUCUGGCUCUCAGCGUGGAGGCGAGGAACCAUCCCGGCCGGAGGUACACGCUGCCCAGCCAGAAAGGAGCACCAGCCCCCAGCCGUCCACCUCUGGCACACAGCAUCACCCUGAAGAGCCACAGAUAAGUCCCAGCCCCCAACCGUCCACCUCAGACUACGAUUCAGACUCUGUCAUAGAUUUUAAUAUCGAUACAUGUUCAGAGUUAGAGUCAGAUGACGAGUCAGAUUCUCUUUUUGACUCUGAUUCCCAGGACGAGAGCCACAGCCCCCCGAUGUCCAACUCUGCUGUGGAGGAGGAGCUGGUCAUUUUGUUCAGCUACGAAGGUCUUUGGGCCGAGGAAAACGAGGGCCAGCCCGUCGUCCACUUCCCAUCUGGACUACCAGACGCCGAGGUUGUUGAGGUACUGGACUCGGUUUGGGACCACUGGGUUUGCUCUCCUUACACACGUGAGAUGUAGCUUUCCUUUCAGUGAGUAGCUGGUCACACAUAGGGCAUUUAGUGGCAUAUUCCAUCGCCACACAAGGAUUUCUGAAUCUUUCUGUACAGCUCUUUCUUUUCCUACUUUCAAAAAACAAAAAAAGACCAAAAAAAAUCUUUACCUUUUAGAAACACUAAUGGUAAGGUUAGGACCCUCUAAGUUAAGGAUUUCUGAAUCUUUCUGUACAGCUCUUUCUUUUCCUACUUUCAAAAACAAAAAAAGACCAAAAAAAAACCUCUUUACAGUGUAUAGACACUAAUGGUAAGGUUAGGAUACUCUGAGUUAAGGAUUUCUCAAUCUUUCUGUGCAGCUCUUUCUUUUCCUACUUUCAAAAAACAAAAAAAGACCAAAAAAAAAACCUCUUUACAGUGUAUAGACACUAAUGGUAAGGUUAGGACCCUCUAACUUAAGGAUUUCUCAAUCUUUCUGUACAGCUCUUUCUUUUCCUACUUUCAAAAAACAAAAAAAUGACAAAAAAAACUCUUUACAGUGUAUAGACAGUAAUGGUAAGGUUAGGAUACUCUGAGUUAAGGAUUUCUCAAUCUUUCUGUACAGCUCUUUCUUUUCCUCCUUUAAAAACACACAAAAAAUAAAAAUAAAAAAAAUAAAAUCCUAUGUAGAUAAACUUAAGAUAAGUUUAGGAUUCUUAUUCAAGUUUAAGUAUUUCUAUAUCUUUUGUACAGCUCCUUAUAUUUUUGCUUUGUAAAGUUUCAAAGCAGAUGGAAAGGGCUUAGAAGAGGGUCUUCAGAAAUGUUCCAUUCAAAUCCAUUAAAUCUGUGUUUAAUUUGAUUGUUUUGACUGAAGCACAGAUAGAAAAUGCUUCCACAAUUCUCAUUUUCAAUAUCUAUUUUAUUGUUUCUAUCACCAUUUAUGAUAUGACGAGAAAUUAAAUACGAAUUUGUAGACUAGUUUUACACUUUUUAUUAUUGUUAUUUUUGAAUGGAACAUUUCCAGAGGGUUAGGGUCCUUCUGCUGCUGCACUGAACAUGUAACAUGUCGUUUGUUUUUUCACAUUUAGAGAUUGCUGUAUUUUUAGUUUCUGGACCCAGCACAGCUCUGUGAAAUUUGAAGUUGUUCACUGUAAUAUCUGUUUGAUGCAAACAGUUAUUUCUCCUAUUUAUGAGCCAUUUAUGUGUCAAACAUAUUCAUACACCUUGUGCACAAAACAUUAAAAGAAGACUGGUGUAAUUCCACAGACAGUCUGCAGAUGUUUCAGGUUCAGUGCAGCCACAGAGACAGGGUGGGUGGACCCUCUUCAAGCCCUUUACCUCUGUUAUCAUUGAUACUGUUGGGUACCACAUUAUUAUUCAUUAGUCCUUUCUUCCUGUUGGGUUGAAUUUAUUAGUUUUUUCUAUUUGAUUUUAAAAUCUUCAAAUUUACACCAUUUAAAGUCUCUGCAAAAGACAAAAGUUUGAGAAAGAGGUCAUUCUUUAAAGCGAUGUCUUUCCUUGUCCACAUUGCCACCUUAGUUAAAGCAGACAUUUGAAUGUGAGAUUGUAACAGCAGGAGAUGACUUUAGGAGGGUCUGUAGGAAAUGCUCCAUCCAUAUAAUUUCAGUGUUAUUAUUGUUAUUUGAUUUUUUCCAUUAAUAAUGUCUGAUUUAUUUGAUACAUCUCACUGUAUUAAGUGGUGAGAUCUUUAAACAAUAUUCUGAACAAAAACUAAUUAUUGUCUCAAUGAUAAGAGUCAUAUUUGUAUGGAGCAUUUCCAAAGGGUUGAGGUUAGGGAGGGUCAGACCCUCCUAGAGUCUUUUUCCUCUUUUACAAAAGUUACGAUUUUAUAUUUUCACAAUGAAUUAUGUCUUUUCUUUUAGUUGAUUGGGAUUAUUGUUGUAAAAUCUUGAAAGAAAAAACGUCUGAAUUUUUCCGACAAAAAAAUGAACAAAUGUUUAAGAUGCCGCUCAGUAAUGGUAGUUUUAGAAUUAUUCUUUCUUUGCCUCUUUCACAACUUUGUAACAGGAGUGUAAAAGCAGGAAAUGACUUUAGGAGGGUCUUCAGGAAAUGCUCUAUCCAAAUUAUAGUUUUAUUAUUAGUAGUUUUAUUACAAUAUGUCCAGUGACAUUCUCAGUAUCAGGCCGACUUCUUUCAUCUCACUGUAUUAACUGGUGAGCUCUUGAAACAAUAUUCUGAAACUACAAUUCAGUGUUUAAACAGAAUUUACUGUCUAAUCAAAAUGAUCAGAGAGUUACAUUUGAAUGGAGCAUUUCCAAAGGGUUGAGGUUAGGGAGGGCCAGACCCUCCUAAAGUCUUUUUCCUCUUUUACAGAUGUUACUGCUUGAUGUCACUAUUGUUAUUGAUAAGUCUUUCCUAUCAGUUGUACAUUUUGAAAAGCCAUUCAAAUUCUGUGAUAGAGAAAAAUGUUUAAGAUGUUGUUUGGUAAUGUUAAGUUUCCUGUAACAGCAGGAGAUGACUUUAGGAGGGUCUUCAGGAAAUGCUCCAUCCAAAUUAUAGUUUUAUUAUUAGUAGCAUUAUUACAAUGUGUCCAGUGACAUUCACAGUAUCAGACUGACUUGUUUCAUCUCACAGUAUUAAUUGGUGAGAUCCUGAAACAAUAUUCUGAAACUAACAGAUUAUUGUGUCAACGAUAAGAGUCAUAUUUGUAUGGAGCAUCUCCAAAGGGUUGAGGUUAGGGAGGGCCAGACCCUCCUAGAGUCUUUUUCCUCUUUUACAAAUGUUACUGUUUGAUGUCAUUAUUGUUAUUUAUAAGUCUUUUCUUUGAUUUUAUUUUUUGAUUUUAAAAUCUUAAAAGAAAAAACAUCUAAAUUCAUCCAACAGAUAUUUAAGAUGUCGCUCAGUAAUGGUAGUUUUAGAAUCUUUUUUUCUGUACCCCUUUCACAACUUUAUACCAGGAGUUUAACAGCAGGAGAUGACUUUAGGAGGGUCUUCAGGAAAUGUUCCAUCCAAAUUAUAGUUUUAAUUUUAGUAGUAUUGUUUUUGCAAUUCAUCCAGUCACAUUGAAAACAUCGAACUGACUUGUUACAUCUCACUGUAUUAACUGGUGAGAUCUGGAAACAACAUUCUGAAAAUACAGUUCAGUGUUUAAACAUAAUUUACUGUCUAAUCAAAAAGAUCAGAGAGUUACAUUUGAAUGGAGCAUUUCCAAAGGGUUGAGGUUUGGGAGGGCCAGACCCUCCUAGAAUCUUUUUCCUCUUUUACUCCUCUUACUGUUACUGAGUGAUCUUAACAGAAUUACAAACACGUUUUUUGUUUAAAUUGUUUCUGUAGAACAUUUGUAGACACUGAGGAAUAUUUAGAUAAAAGCUUUUCUUUAAAAUGUCAGACUAACAUGAAUAUUUUAUGUACUCCAACAUUUUUAUCUUUAGAUUUCCCGCAAAAGUCAUUUAAAAUGAAUAUUUUAAAAUGGCUUCAAAUGAUGGAAAGAGCUUCAAGAGGGUCUUCAGAAAUGUUCCAUUCAAAUCUGUUUAAAACUUUGUUAAAGUUAAUAUGAUGAAUUUAAAAACAAGUGAAGAAAUUCUUCUAUAAUCUGUAUUUACAAUGUCUAUAAUGAUUUUACAUUUCAGCUUAUGAAAUGUUAAGAAAUGAACCAAGAAUUUUUGACCAGUUUUAAGUCAUUGUUGUUUGUUAUAUUUGAAUGGAACAUUUCCAAAGGGUAGAGGUUAGGGAGGGUCAGACCCUCCUGAAGCUCUUUACCUCUGAUACUCAUGUUAAUAUCAGAAAUCAUCACUAUUAAUGAUGACUUCUUCUUCUGUUGUUUUAAUAUCUUCAAGGAAAAUUCAUCCCAAUUUGACAAAAGAGAGCAAAAUUUAAAAUUUUUCUCAGUAAUUGUGAUGCUUCAAAGUCAUUUGUUUGUGUGAAUAUUCAUCAGUUAAUUAAAGUGCAUAUUUAAAGAGAUUGUAAAAGCAGGAGAAGACUUUAGGAGGGUCUACAGGAAAUGCUCCAUCCAAAUUAUUAUUACAAUUAUUAUUGUUGUUUUUGUUGUAAUUCUUCAAGUGACAUUCACAACAUAAAACUGACUUAUUUCAUCUCACUGUAUUAACUGGUGAGAUCUUGAAACUACAUUCUGAAACUACAAUUCAGUGUUUGAACAGAAUUUAUUGUCUAAUCAAAAACAUCAGACAGUUACAUUUGAAUGGAGCAUUUCCAAAGGGUUGAGGUUCGGGAGGGCCAGACCCUCCUAAAGUCUUCAUGCUCUUUUACAAAUGUUAUUAGUAGAUUUCAUCACUAUUAAUGAUGAUUCUUUGUGAUGUUUUAAUAUCUAUAAAGAGAAAAAACAGAAAAAUUGACAAAUGGUGAGGAUUUCCUGUUGUUUUUCAUGUUUUGGGUUUGGUUCGGUCCGUCUCUCGUCGUCUCUUUUUCUCUCCUCCCUAGUUUCCUUUCACUGGUUUGCUGAGGACGUGGCUCGUCACCCUGCAGAUCGUUCCAGAUCAUCAGCUCCUCCAUAAAACCUGGACUCUUCUCUACUCUGGUCACAGAUUGUUCUGAUCCUGUGUUCCUCGCUCAGUUCUCCUAAACUCCAGUGUUUCAUGUGCUCAGUCUUCAGCUCUGCCUCGGUCACUCCAGCCGUCCACCAAACCAGCCAGUCCUCAACCUCCACUGUCCCUUUUGAGACUUUUGUUCAAAUAAAUCACUCUUUUUACCUUACACCCCUUUAUGUUCUCAUGUCCAACUUCACUAAUGUGAUAGCAGGACUGCUGAAGCCAAAGAUGGAAGAGAAGUGCUCAACUGAAACUAGGUUUUCAUUGUUAUAAAGAUUAACAUCUGAACAUGAUAAGCAGACAAGAAAAAAAUAUGAAAAUCUUAGGGCUAAAUUCAACUUGAGCCACUGCAAGUGAUCAACACAACUGAUGACACUGAUGUCCAAAAUGCAGCAUCAUCAACAUUUUUAACUGACACGUUUAUUUAUAAAUUCAUCAUUUUUUAUAUUUUAUAUGGUUUUUCUCAGUAUCUUACAUAAUUGGUGCAUCAUGAUCCCAGUUGUUUUUGGCUAAAGUCAUUGAUCCGUUGCAGUCAGUGGUGCAGUUUGAGAUAAUAUUAACUACAGUAGAGUCUGAGUGUAAAAGUUUCCAAAGACCCAAAGCUUCCAAAGUAUGGGAGUAUUUCAGAUGAUCGCAGAACAACAAGGUGGUUUGUACACUGUGCAGAAUUUUAAUGGCAGACCACAACAACACAGCACAAUUCACAAACACCUGAAGACAAACCUCACACAAGGAACUUCACAUUUGUUAGCUUGUGUACGAUACAUUAGUGAAAAUAAAAUAAAGUAAGCUAUAUAAAAAACACUAGAAUUGAAAAGUAAGUGUGUACUUUAAUUUACCAAAAAUUCUAUGAAAUUUGAAUUGUAUAUGUGUGUGAUGCUUUUUUCAAAAUCAAUCCGUUAGUCAGCAUUUUCUGUGUUGACUGAUCCUUAUUUCAUAUGUUCACUGUGAGGAGCUGCAUCUUGUUCAUUUUGAUAAUAUUUUAAUGGAUUAAUUAACCCUAAUCCAUGGUUUUUUGCUAUUUGUACGAAUUGUUUUCAGAAAUGCGCUUACUGUUUUGCAAAUGCCAAGGAUGAUUUGAGAAAUGUACCAAAACGACUGAGAAAAAUUGGAAAUAAAGCAUCUGAACGCUU